CACAUUCAUCGCUGUCGGUGGGUUGUGCUGCUUGACUCGAACCCGCUGAGCGAUGAGUGAAA
RNAcentral lists this microRNA precursor (62 nucleotides) under Lepisosteus oculatus (spotted gar). RNAcentral describes it as "Loc-Mir-181-P2c_pre stem-loop". The record is from RNAcentral. Lineage: Eukaryota; Metazoa; Chordata; Actinopteri; Semionotiformes; Lepisosteidae.